UUGAACAACUUUAAAUUCAAUCACCACAGCGCAUCCUACAACUCCGGUUACUAACCAGCAACCAAUUCGUCUUCAUACAAGAGAACAACACACUUCUGCAAUUACAUAAUUUUUUUAUAAGAAAGCAGGAAAUCUAAAACAUAUCACAAAUCACAAAUCCAGUGUCAUGAACUCCAUCCCGACUGACUCAUACUGCCUGGAUAUUGUCCAGGUUCUGUUCCCCCUAGCAGUACUCACUCAAUGGUACAUGUUCUAUUUUCAAGCAAACAAAAUUAGCCAAUUUCAUUCACGGAAUUCAAAAUCCAACUUAGGUUCAUAAUACUCAGGGAUACUUAACAAAAAUUCUACAUGUAAGAGCUUCACUUAUUCGCUUGAAAGACCUUAAAAUCACUACAUACAUGGGCACAAAUGAAUUAAUUCCAAAUAAAAAUAAAAGUAAAACUAAAACUAAAUAAGGUGCGACCAGAAUCACGGGUUUCUGGUAACUCACCGACGAGCACAACUCCAGUUUUUAAAGAGGCUCCUGUAGAAUACCCCUGUGAAGUUCGGGUUCCAACACUUGAUGGAAGACCCUUCAGCUUAUCGAGUUAGGUGCACGAUUUUGGCUUCUAGGUCCUGCAUACACACACAAAUAUUCAUCCGAUCAAAACNN
RNAcentral lists this long non-coding RNA (652 nucleotides) under Carica papaya (papaya). RNAcentral describes it as "long non-coding RNA (CPAP_LNC006736)". Lineage: Eukaryota; Viridiplantae; Streptophyta; Magnoliopsida; Brassicales; Caricaceae. The record is from RNAcentral.